UGGCGGACGGGUGAGUAAUGUCUGGGAAACUGCCUGAUGGAGGGGGAUAACUACUGGAAACGGUAGCUAAUACCGCAUAACGUCGCAAGACCAAAGAGGGGGACCUUCGGGCCUCUUGCCAUCGGAUGUGCCCAGAUGGGAUUAGCUAGUAGGUGGGGUAACGGCUCACCUAGGCGACGAUCCCUAGCUGGUCUGAGAGGAUGACCUGCCACACUGGAACUGAGACACGGUCCAGACUCCUACGGGAGGCAGCAUG
Molecule: ribosomal RNA, 256 nt
Filed under: uncultured bacterium
Lineage: Bacteria
Description: partial 16S ribosomal RNA
Rfam family: Bacterial small subunit ribosomal RNA
Source: RNAcentral